RNAcentral lists this ribosomal RNA (600 nucleotides) under uncultured bacterium. RNAcentral describes it as "bacterial SSU rRNA". It matches the Rfam family "Bacterial small subunit ribosomal RNA", at positions 886 to 1482 of the family's 1533-position model. The record is from RNAcentral.
CCGCAAGGUUGAAACUCAAAGGAAUUGACGGGGGCCCGCACAAGCGGUGGAGCAUGUGGUUUAAUUCGACGCAACGCGAAGAACCUUACCUAGGCUUGACAUGCUGGAGAAAGCUUGCGGAAACGUGAGCCCCUCUUCGGAGUUCCAGCACAGAUGCUGCAUGGCUGUCGUCAGCUCGUGUCGUGAGAUGUUGGGUUAAGUCCCGCAACGAGCGCAACCCUCACUCUUAGUUACCAGCGGGUAAUGCCGGGGACUCUAGGGGGACUGCCGGUGCCAAACCGGAGGAAGGUGGGGAUGACGUCAAGUCAUCAUGGCUCUUACGUCUAGGGCUACACACGUGCUACAAUGGACCGGACAGAGGGUCGCCAACUCGCGAGAGUGAGCCAAUCCCCAAACCGGUCCUCAGUUCGGAUUGCAGUCUGCAACUCGACUGCAUGAAGCUGGAAUCGCUAGUAAUCGUGGAUCAGCUACGCCACGGUGAAUACGUUCCCGGGCCUUGUACACACCGCCCGUCACGCCAUGGAAGUUGUGAGCGCCCGAAGUCGGUGUCGGAACCCGCAAGGGACCAAGCCGCCUAAGGCGAGCGCAAUGACUGGGGCG